This 1506-nucleotide ribosomal RNA is filed under the name uncultured bacterium. RNAcentral describes it as "bacterial SSU rRNA". It matches the Rfam family "Bacterial small subunit ribosomal RNA". The record is from RNAcentral.
AGAGUUUGAUCAUGGCUCAGGACGAACGCUGGCGGCGUGCCUAACACAUGCAAGUCGAACGGAGUUGAGUGCUUCGGUAUUCAACUUAGUGGCAAACGGGUGAGUAACGCGUGAGGAACCUGCCUUUCAGUGGGGGACAACAGUUGGAAACGACUGCUAAUACCGCAUGAUACUUUUUGGGGGCAUCCCUGAAAAGUCAAAGAUUUAUUGCUGAAAGAUGGCCUCGCGUCUGAUUAGCUAGUUGGCGGGGUAACGGCCCACCAAGGCGACGAUCAGUAGCCGGUCUGAGAGGAUGAACGGCCACAUUGGGACUGAGAUACGGCCCAGACUCCUACGGGAGGCAGCAGUGGGGAAUAUUGGGCAAUGGGGGAAACCCUGACCCAGCAACGCCGCGUGAAGGAAGAAGGCCCUCGGGUUGUAAACUUCUUUUACCAGGGACGAAGGACGUGACGGUACCUGGAGAAAAAGCAACGGCUAACUACGUGCCAGCAGCCGCGGUAAUACGUAGGUUGCAAGCGUUGUCCGGAUUUACUGGGUGUAAAGGGCGUGUAGGCGGAGCUGCAAGUCAGAUGUGAAAUCCUGGGGCUUAACCCCGGAACUGCAUUUGAAACUGUAGCCCUUGAGUAUCGGAGAGGCAAGCGGAAUUCCUAGUGUAGCGGUGAAAUGCGUAGAUAUUAGGAGGAACACCAGUGGCGAAGGCGGCUUGCUGGACGACAACUGACGCUGAGGCGCGAAAGCGUGGGGAGCAAACAGGAUUAGAUACCCUGGUAGUCCACGCUGUAAACGAUGAAUACUAGGUGUGGGGGGACUGACCCCCUCCGUGCCGCAGUUAACACAAUAAGUAUUCCACCUGGGGAGUACGACCGCAAGGUUGAAACUCAAAGGAAUUGACGGGGGCCCGCACAAGCAGUGGAUUAUGUGGUUUAAUUCGACGCAACGCGAAGAACCUUACCAGGAUUUGACAUCCAACUAACGAAGCAGAGAUGCAUCAGGUGCCCUUCGGGGAAAGUUGAGACAGGUGGUGCAUGGUUGUCGUCAGCUCGUGUCGUGAGAUGUUGGGUUAAGUCCCGCAACGAGCGCAACCCCUAUUGUUAGUUGCUACGAAAGAGCACUCUAGCGAGACUGCCGUUGACAAAACGGAGGAAGGCGGGGACGACGUCAAAUCAUCAUGCCCCUUAUGUCCUGGGCUACACACGUAAUACAAUGGCGGUCAACAGAGGGAAGCAAAGCCGCGAGGUGGAGCAAAUCCCUAAAAGCCGUCUCAGUUCGGAUUGCAGGCUGCAACUCGCCUGCAUGAAGCUGGAAUUGCUAGUAAUCGCGGAUCAGCAUGCCGCGGUGAAUACGUUCCCGGGCCUUGUACACACCGCCCGUCACACCAUGAGAGUCGGGAACACCCGAAGUCCGUAGUCUAACCGCAAGGAGGGCGCGGCCGAAGGUGGGUCCGGUAAUUGGGGUGAAGUCGUAACAAGGUAGCCGUAUCGGAAGGUGCGGCUGGAUCACCUCCUU